UUCCUGUUUGUAGCAUGACUAACACUGAUAGCGUAGAACCUAUCACUCCAGCACAGCUACUCACAUGUAAAUCCAAGGUCCUUCUUCCUCCACCUGGUGUCUUCUGCCGUGAAGACGUCUACGCCCGACGAAGAUGGCGGCGCGUACAACAUCUGGCGGACGUAUUCUGGUCGCGAUGGCAGCACGAGUACGUCCCCACUAUGCAGGAGCGACGGAGAUGGAUCGACAAGGAGCCUAACAUGAAGGUCGACGACCUCGUCGCCGUGGCCGAUGACAGUCUUCCGCGCUCUCAGUGGCAUCUGGGACGUAUAGUGACCACGUACCCGAGUGCGGAUGACUUGGUGCGUAAGGUGCGAGUGCGGAUCGGCGCAGCCGAAUACGACAGGCCAGUGCAUCGUCUGGUCAUGAUCAUGAGGGCGCACGACGGAGAUUCCCGGUCGGGGAGCCUCUGAACGCUUAGUGAGCGGACGACGAACUAGAGGUGCUUGGCGUAGGAUUAGCGGUCCACAUGCCGUAAAAGGGCAGCAGUGAGAAGUGUAAGAUGCAUUGAGACCGUAGUCUGUAAGGACUUGAUCCUUGGAACAACUUCUGUUUCAUGGUCACAUGCUUGUUCGUGUAAUCGACGUAUCUGUUAGUGUUAUCCGAAGAGAAAAUUCUGUUGAAUUUUGGGGAGCCAUGUUCCCGCUGGCAUCAAUUUACUGCAGUGGUUUAGGUGACAACCAGCGUGGCCCGCGUGGGCCCUGUUUUUUGCCGCAUCUGCGCAAGAAAUGUUAUUGUUUUGAACGAAAAGCGAGCCGAGGGACAUGGGACGGAGUGAGUAAUGUAUUUUCUUUAAUAUUUUGUUUUUUACGUGGCAUUGCGGAACUGGAUGAAUAUACUGAAUGAAAAGGAAAA
RNAcentral lists this long non-coding RNA (894 nucleotides) under Amphibalanus amphitrite. RNAcentral's name for it is "uncharacterized LOC122365037". Lineage: Eukaryota; Metazoa; Arthropoda; Thecostraca; Balanomorpha; Balanidae. The record is from RNAcentral.